Molecule: long non-coding RNA, 252 nt
Organism: Acomys russatus (golden spiny mouse)
Lineage: Eukaryota; Metazoa; Chordata; Mammalia; Rodentia; Muridae
Exons: 3
Source: RefSeq, a predicted model, not a curated record
UCCUCUAACCUCCUUCUAGUAACAGCACCCACAGCAACUCAAGCUGUAAAAUCCAGGCUCCUUUGAAAGACCAUCAGAGUGCACUGAGAAAGGUGGGAUCCCUACCAUCAGAGUGCGCUGAGAAAGGUGGGAUCCCUACCAUCAGAGUGCGCUGAGAAAGGUGGGAUCCCUACCAUCAGAGUGCACUGAGAAAGGUGGGCUCCCUACCAUCAGAGUGCAGUGAGAAAGGUGGGAUCCCUACCAUCAGAGUGC